CCUACGGGGGGCGGCAGUGGGGAAUAUUGCACAAUGGGCGAAAGCCUGAUGCAGCAACGCCGCGUGAGUGAUGAAGGUCUUCGGAUUGUAAAGCUCUGUCUUUUGGGACGAUAAUGACGGUACCAAAGGAGGAAGCCACGGCUAACUACGUGCCAGCAGCCCCGGUC
This 167-nucleotide ribosomal RNA is filed under the name uncultured bacterium. RNAcentral describes it as "partial 16S rRNA". It matches the Rfam family "Bacterial small subunit ribosomal RNA", at positions 338 to 522 of the family's 1533-position model. The record is from RNAcentral.